CANGUCGGGCGGCAGCAUGGACUUCGGUCUGAUGGCGAGCGGCGAACGGGUGAGUAAUGCAUCGGAACGUACCUAGUCGUGGGGGAUAACUACCCGAAAGAGUAGCUAAUACCGCAUACGUCCUACGGGAGAAAGCAGGGGAUCGCAAGACCUUGCGCGAUUGGAGCGGCCGAUGUCUGAUUAGCUAGUUGGUGAGGUAAAGGCUCACCAAGGCGACGAUCAGUAGCGGGUCUGAGAGGAUGAUCCGCCACACUGGGACUGAGACACGGCCCAGACUCCUACGGGAGGCAGCAGUGGGGAAUUUUGGACAAUGGGCGCAAGCCUGAUCCAGCCAUUCCGCGUGAGUGAAGAAGGCCUUCGGGUUGUAAAGCUCUUUCGGCAGGAAAGAAAUCGCCCGCUCUAACAUAGCGGGUGGAUGACGGUACCUGAAGAAGAAGCACCGGCUAACUACGUGCCAGCAGCCGCGGUAAUACGUAGGGUGCGAGCGUUAAUCGGAAUUACUGGGCGUAAAGCGUGCGCAGGCGGCUUUUUAAGCCAGAUGUGAAAUCCCCGGGCUUAACCUGGGAACUGCAUUUGGAACUGGAAGGCUANAGUGCGGCANAGGGGGGUANAAUUCC
This 617-nucleotide ribosomal RNA is filed under the name uncultured beta proteobacterium. RNAcentral's name for it is "bacterial SSU rRNA". It matches the Rfam family "Bacterial small subunit ribosomal RNA", at positions 58 to 670 of the family's 1533-position model. Lineage: Bacteria; Pseudomonadati; Pseudomonadota; Betaproteobacteria. The record is from RNAcentral.